GAACGCCGUGUGAUGGGAAACUAUCACGCACGGUGUGGACUGGGGGAAAAUCCGGAUAGUAUAGACUACAAAGGAUUACCUAUCAGUAUAAUUUUAUAGUUAUAGAACCCUUAAAUGACCCUAC
This is a non-coding RNA of Clostridium grantii DSM 8605, 124 nucleotides long. Lineage: Bacteria; Bacillati; Bacillota; Clostridia; Eubacteriales; Clostridiaceae. The record is from Rfam.